UGGGGGAUAUUGCACAAUGGGCGAAAGCCUGAUGCAGCGACGCCGCGUGGGGGAUGAAGGCCUUCGGGUUGUAAACUUCUUUUGCUCUGAACAAGGCGCACCAUGGGGUGUGUUGAGUGUAGGGGUUGAUUAGCGCCGGCUAACUACGUGCCAGCAGCCGCGGUAAUACGUAGGGCGCGAGCGUUGUCCGGAAUUAUUGGGCGUAAAGGGCUUGUAGGUGGCUGGUUGCGUCUGUCGUGAAAGCUCAUGGCUUAACUGUGGGUUUGCGGUGUGUACAGGCUUGCUUGAGUGCAGUAGGGGAGGCUGGAAUUCCUGGUGUAUCGGUGGAAUGCGCAGAUAUCAGGAGGACUACCGGUGGCGAAGGCGGGUCUCUGGGCUGUUACUGACACUGAGGAGCGAAAGCAUGGGGAGCGAACAGG
Molecule: ribosomal RNA, 419 nt
Filed under: bacterium
Lineage: Bacteria
Description: partial 16S ribosomal RNA
Rfam family: Bacterial small subunit ribosomal RNA
Source: RNAcentral